GACGAACGCUGGCGGCGUGCUUAACACAUGCAAGUCGAACGGAAAGGCCCUGCUUGCAGGGUACUCGAGUGGCGAACGGGUGAGUAACACGUGGGUGAUCUGCCCUGCACUUCGGGAUAAGCCUGGGAAACUGGGUCUAAUACCGGAUAGGAGCCAUUUUUAGUGUGAUGGUUGGAAAGUUUUUUCGGUGUAGGAUGAGCUCGCGGCCUAUCAGCUUGUUGGUGGGGUAAUGGCCUACCAAGGCGGCGACGGGUAGCCGGCCUGAGAGGGUGGACGGCCACAUUGGGACUGAGAUACGGCCCAGACUCCUACGGGAGGCAGAAGUGGGGAAUAUUGCACAAUGGGCGCCAGCCUGAUGCAGCGACGCCGCGUGGGGGAUGACGGCCUUCGGGUUGUAAACUCCUUUCGCUAGGAACGAAGCUUUUUGUGACGGUACCUAGAUAAGAAGCACCGGCUAACUACGUG
RNAcentral lists this ribosomal RNA (465 nucleotides) under uncultured bacterium. RNAcentral describes it as "partial 16S ribosomal RNA". It matches the Rfam family "Bacterial small subunit ribosomal RNA", at positions 28 to 507 of the family's 1533-position model. The record is from RNAcentral.